GUGAACGCUGGCGGUAGGCCUCACCCCUGCAAGUCGAACGGCAGCACCGUAAGAGCUUGCUCUUACGGGUGGCGAGUGGCGGACGGGUGAGGAAUACAUCGGAAUCUACUUUUUCGUGGGGGAUAACGUAGGGAAACUUACGCUAAUACCGCAUACGACCUACGGGUGAAAGCAGGGGAUCUUCGGACCUUGCGCGAUUGAAUGAGCCGAUGUCGGAUUAGCUAGUUGGCGGGGUAAAGGCCCACCAAGGCGACGAUCCGUAGCUGGUCUGAGAGGAUGAUCAGCCACACUGGAACUGAGACACGGUCCAGACUCCUACGGGAGGCAGCAGUGGGGAAUAUUGGACAAUGGGCGCAAGCCUGAUCCAGCCAUACCGCGUGGGUGAAGAAGGCCUUCGGGUUGUAAAGCCCUUUUGUUGGGAAAGAAAAGCAGCAGGUUAAUACCCCGCUGUUCUGACGGUACCCAAAGAAUAAGCACCGGCUAACUUCGUG
This 491-nucleotide ribosomal RNA is filed under the name uncultured bacterium. Its description in RNAcentral is "partial 16S ribosomal RNA". It matches the Rfam family "Bacterial small subunit ribosomal RNA", at positions 29 to 507 of the family's 1533-position model. The record is from RNAcentral.